AAUUUAAGAUUUUAUUACUGAAGGACAGACCAUAUAUACGCUAAUGCAGAUGCUCUUAUGCUCUUGCUCUGGUUUCCCUGUUUUUGUUUUUAUUUCUUUUUGAAUCGAUGUUUGUUUGAUUUUUGUCAAAUCCUCCUUUACUCUGAUUCUGCUUCCUUCGUGAGUUUCCCCUUUGUAAGUGCGAUUAGUAUUGGUUUUUUGCAAGGUGAUUCGGAGCUUGUAAUCGAAGGAUCUUAAGGCCGUAUCGGCGAACUGUGGGUUACAGGUCUCCGUCUCGAAUCUCGGAGUGGUGUCUUGGUGCGUCUAUGCUGGAUUUCGCAAGUCAUUCGCUGUGGUGGCUCAGCCAUGUCCAGCGAUGGUCGCGUUGCAAGGGUGGCGGUUAGGGUUUGUCGAAAUUCUUAGAUCUGUUCACGGUUCAGUUCCCAAGCAUUUCUUCUUCGGGUUUUUUUUAUUUUCUUGCUUAUCCGCCAACCAUCUUUAUUAUGCUCCAGGUAUGUGUCACAGACUCACAGUUUCAGUCUAUUGGUACUUCUAGUUAGAAAUAGUCGUCCUCGAAGCUGAUUAAUUUGUGUUUCCUAUGAUACAUAUAACUAGCUAGAUGAAUUUGUUUGAUAAGAAAUUAGGUGUAUUUUGUUUUACUCUCUCUUUGUUACAUUUACGAAAAGGUGGCGGCAUACAUGGACGGAAAGAAGCUACGCAUCUUUUUACAUGCUGCUCAACUGCCCCAAACUGUUAGACAGCUUUGAUUCUCUCCAUGUGGGAAGGAACUCCUCAGAUACCGAAAACGACAGUGAAGGAAAUCUCUUUGCUUUGGAAGCAUUUGGUUUUGAGGCUGGUUUUGUGUGCGGAUUUGUGGUUAUUUGUUCAAGUUGAGGCUCAUGUUGGAGAUAAAUUUGCAGGAUGGUCUCUAGGAGCCAACAUUUUUUUUAACUAUUUGGGUCAGAUAAUGGAUGCAAAAGGAUAGAACUCAUUAGCAUUGUUUCCAGCUAACUUUUGUGAGAGCAUGUGGAUCAGACGAGUUAUACAGGAAAGGAAAAGUCACAAGAGUUUGGUAGCAAAGUUACAUCUACUGUCUGUAAAGUUCUCUUCUUUGAGCAAGUCCGUCUCCUUCAAAAGUCUCCGGAAUGGUAUAUAUAUAAGCUUCUGAGGAUAUGCUUGAAGAUGAUGUAGCUUCAAACAAAGCAAUAGGACCCUUUGGUUCGAGCCUGUUGAGAACUUGAUCAGUUUAGGACAUGACUUUGUGUUUUGUUUAUGGCUUUGUUUGAUGGUUACAUCUUCUCUUCUAGAGUUCAUGCUUGUGAUGUGUUCACUUUGUAUGAUUUGGAUCUUUUAUGGAAAAGCAUUGGUAUUUUAUGAUUUU
Molecule: non-coding RNA, 1360 nt
Organism: Camelina sativa (false flax)
Lineage: Eukaryota; Viridiplantae; Streptophyta; Magnoliopsida; Brassicales; Brassicaceae
Source: RefSeq, a predicted model, not a curated record